Molecule: long non-coding RNA, 3125 nt
Filed under: Homo sapiens (human)
Lineage: Eukaryota; Metazoa; Chordata; Mammalia; Primates; Hominidae
Description: long independently transcribed non-coding RNA 1278, transcript variant 3 (LINC01278)
Source: RNAcentral
AUUGCCUGGGAAACUAAGUCACGUGAGAACCUGGGGACGCUAGGUUCCGGAACCUGACCUGAGCUGGGGCCUGUGCUUCCAGCGGGUGGUGGGGGGCCUGGUGUGCUGGCAUCAAGUAAGCCGACUACCUCGGCAAAGGCUUAGGGACAAGAGACCAGCAGCCUGAACUGGCUGGGGCAUCCGGAAGGCUUAGAUCUUGUGGCCAAGAGUUCAGACCGUGGCGAAGUGGAGAGUGACAUGCAGUUGGAUGGCGGUGACUGCGUGGUAUGGAAGAAAAUUCAGCUGAAAUUUGCUAGAAAAUGAGUUGUUUUGGAAAGAGACUGUAGAGAAAGGCAAAUGGAAGAAGAAAGCUUCUGUGCCCCCACAGAUACCGACUGAAAAGUGUUAGCAUGAGCAAAAGUUCCUAUCUAAUAUUAUAUGCUUUCCUUUGCUCCCAGCAUUCCACAAUCACGGGCUACUUCAAUUCUGCCUGCUGAGCUGAUUUAAUAAUCUGGAAGAGGAUUAUUCUCCCCCAUCUGGAAGAGGAUUAUUCUCUAUAAUCCCAGUUAGAGACACAAUGACAUAAACAUCGCUGUCCUGCAACCCUGGUUCCAGUCUGGCAAGCAUUGUAGACCUGGCUGCUGAAGACUGACGGGGCCCAGGGUCCGCUGCCCCCACCGCCAUCACCACCUCGGAACCCAGGGUAACGCUGUCAGUCUUUGGACCAACCUCGCUGUGCCUAACAAGAAUUCCAGAAGUCACCCAUCCGAAAGGCACUGGCCCAUGACACUCUCCACUUCCAAUCUUAAAUCUUUUACUUCAUACCUUGUCUCAGAUCUCUCCUGGUACCCCUUCCCCACGCCCUUAGAUAAUCCAUCUCAAUUCCUCAUGCUAAUUGAGGAGCUAUGGCUGCAAGGCACCUUCCAGGAUUUCACACCUACACAAAUCUCCUUUUUCUCCUUUUGCCUUCUCUGCUUAUGGGAUAUUCUGAGUCCCCACCCCCAAUCACUGACAGCUGGGCCCCCUUCAUCAGCCUCACACACCACGUAUUAAGUCAGUCACAAUCUCCCCUCUCCUCUAACUGCUGGAUUUGUCUUUCUACACACACCCAAUGAUUCACGGCUCUUCCGGCUGACCUACUUACAUGGACACAGUCCAACGUGAGCUUACACAUUUCUUACUUGGCUAUACCAUUCUUGGCUGAUUCAUUCCUGAAACCGGUUCAUAACCUGGAAACUCAGCUAAACACCUUUCCUUCAAACUCAGCUCUCUCAGCAUGGUUUCAGGUAGGGCUGUUGCCCUCCUUCACCUAAUAGCUUCUGGACUAACAUCCAUACAAACCAACACAGCAUCAUCUAAACCACCAAUAUGGGGGUACCAUUUCUACUCAAACUUCCUUCAUAUCCCCACCCCCCUUAUGUCUCAGCCGAACCUACCCUAAUCCAGCCCACGCCACAAUGGUGGGACAGGUUCCCCAGUCCCUAUGUGGUCUUAUUUUUACCCUUGCACUCCCUGUAGACCAUCAAUUCUACACCCUAAUUACAAAAUCAUAUCCACCUCUGCCUGGCAGAAGGUGUUAUGCUUUUCUGGCUCGCCUACCAUCCACACAUCCCUACACCUCACCACCGGAUCCUCUUUUCUUUCCUUCCAUCCAAUUCCUGGCUUCCCCGCUGCCAACUCUGCUCUCUAUGUCUCCAGUUUAAAGGUGCCCCCUGGAAAAAAUGUAACAAUUCCCUCACCUGUGACUGGUACCUGACAGCCACCACACCGGGGCAGCAAUGGCUAACGGUUGACAAAGACAAUUUCUUUCUCUCUCCAAAACCAAACAGCCUUCAUCAACUCCCUAGCCAAGACUCCCUAUCAGGCCCUUACAGGUGCCGCUCUGGCUGGCAGUUACCCAAUUUGGGAAAACGAAAAUACCCUAUCAUGGCUACCUACCUUCACCUACAACUUCUGCCUGUCCACCCCCAGUCUCUUCUUUUUGUGUGAUACAAACUGAUAUCUUUGCCUACCAGCCAACUGGUCAGGAACUUGCACCCUGGUCUUUCAGGCUCCAACCAUCAACAUCCUACCCCCUAACCAAACUAUUCUAAUUUCUGUAGAAGCCUCUAUCUCCUCUUCACCCAUAAGAAAUAAAUGGGCUCUACAUCUCAUCACCCUGCUAACAGGAUUAGGCAUCACUGCUGCACUUGGCACUGGAAUAGCAGGCAUAACCACCUCAAUCACCUCAUACCAAACACUAUUCACAACCCUUUCUAACACCGUAGAAGAUAUGCACACUUCCAUUACCAGUCUCCAACGACAAUUAGACUUCCUCGUGGGAGUCAUCCUUCAAAACUGGAGAGUCCUGGACCUCCUAACCACUGAGAAAGGGGGUACCUGCAUAUACCUCCAGGAAGAAUGCUGUUUCUGUGUUAAUGAAUCUGGCAUUGUUCAUAUCGCAGUUCGUAGGCUUCAUGACAGGGCUGCAGAGCUUUGACAUCAAGUCGCUGACUCCUGGUGGCAAGGAUCAUCCCUUCUAAGAUGGAUACCCUGGGUUGCCCCCUUCCUAGGACCCCUGAUCUUCCUCUUCCUGUUACUAAUGAUUGGGCCAUGCAUAUUUAACCUUGUAUCCCGCUUCAUUUCCCAAAGGCUGAAUUGUUUUAUCCAGGCAAGCAUGCAAAAACACAUUGAUAAUAUAUUUCACCUUUGCCACGUCUAAUACCAGAGCCUACGAGGAAACCAUUCGGAAGCUCCAGAACCCAGGCCCUAAUCACAACGCCCCUAUCCAGCAGGAAGCAGCCAGAUGAUCAACGACGCCCUUUUUCCUUUUUAUACUAAAGUAAGAAAUAAGAAUGUUAGCCCAAACUGCACUAUUUUGCAGACCCCUACCAUUUUACAAACUGGUCAGAGUGGAAAAUUCCACCAGGGCCUGAGCUGUGAGAAACAUCCUGUCAGGCAGGUCCCAGGCCUAACCCCUGGCUGCACUAAAUUCCUUCAUUAUCAGCAGCCAAACACACCGCCCCCACCCCAUUUUCACAACAAUCCCAGACCUCUCCUGCCCGGGACUGUAACUGGUCCAGCCUGUAAGCGGGAAGGGGGCUCUGGCACUAGCUGGUACCCCCUCUCCGCAGGUCUUUCUCCCAAUAAAUCUGUGUUGCCAUUGA